This 77-nucleotide ribosomal RNA is filed under the name Caerostris darwini. The record is from RNAcentral. Lineage: Eukaryota; Metazoa; Arthropoda; Arachnida; Araneae; Araneidae.
AUGAUCACCGAAGUUAAGCAUCAUUGGGCGCGGUCAGUACUUGGGUGGGUGACCACCUGGGAACACUGCGUGCCGUU